UGAUUCUCACCUUUUUGUCCCUUUUAUAGCUUUAAGAAAUAGUGGAAAAUAUUCUAGGCUGAAAAAGAGCCGUUAGACCACAUUAAAUGAGCAUUAAAAGUAUUUAAAAUGGGUUAAAAACUAGCCGUUGCAGAAAAAUCUCAUCACAGGGGUCGACUCAUGGGUCGACUCAUGCCUGGGGCUCGACUCAUGGGUCGACCUCUGUGGAAAAACAUCAGAGAAUCGAACGGGAUGCAAGGUUCUGUAAAACUGACUUAAAACCCGCAGAGGUCGACUCAUGGGUCGACUCAUGCCUUGGAGGUCGACUCAUGGGUCGACUCACAGGAUGUGUCAAGUCUGUGCCGGCCAGAAAUUUCAGCGUGCCAGUCAUCUCAUGUGCCAUGAGUCGACUCAUGGGUCGACUCAUGAUUUUCAAACAUGCAUAUCUUUCAAAAUACAAGUCCAAAAUCAAUAAAAUUUUUAUCAGUGGAUCACAAAUCUUUUGUUCUAUCAUUUGAUACU
This 501-nucleotide long non-coding RNA is filed under the name Elaeis guineensis (African oil palm). RNAcentral describes it as "long non-coding RNA (EGUI_LNC002047)". The record is from RNAcentral. Lineage: Eukaryota; Viridiplantae; Streptophyta; Magnoliopsida; Arecales; Arecaceae.